This 468-nucleotide ribosomal RNA is filed under the name uncultured bacterium. RNAcentral's name for it is "partial 16S ribosomal RNA". It matches the Rfam family "Bacterial small subunit ribosomal RNA", at positions 28 to 507 of the family's 1533-position model. The record is from RNAcentral.
GACGAACGCUGGCGGCGUGCUUAACACAUGCAAGUCGAACGGAAAGGCCCUGCGUGUGUGGGGUGAUCGAGUGGCGAACGGGGGAGUAACAGGUGAGUAACCUGCCCUUGACUUUGGGAGAACUUCAGGAAACUGGGGCUAAUACCGGAUAGGAGAUCCUGCUGCAUGGUGGGGGUUGGAAAGUUUCGGCGGUUGGGGAUGGACUCGCGGCUUACCAGCUUGUUGGUGGGGUAGUGGCUUACCAAGGCUUUGACGGGUAGCCGGCCUGAGAGGGUGACCGGCCACCUUGGGACUUAGAUACGGCCCAGACUCCUACGGGAGGCAGCAGUGGGGAAUAUUGCACAAUGGGCGGAAGCCUGUUGCAGCAACGCCCCGUGCGGGAUGCCCGCCUUCGGGUUGUAAACCGCUUUCGCCUGUGACGAAGCGUGAGUGACGGUAAUGGGUAAAGAAGCACCGGCUAACUACGUG